UCCCCGGUGGUCUAGUGGUUAGGAUUCGUGGCUCUCACCCCCGCGGCCCUGGUUCGAUUCCCGGUCUGGGAA
Non-coding RNA from Ciona savignyi (Pacific transparent sea squirt), 72 nucleotides. The record is from Rfam. Lineage: Eukaryota; Metazoa; Chordata; Ascidiacea; Phlebobranchia; Cionidae.